CAUUCAAAUUUCUGCCCUA
This 19-nucleotide non-coding RNA is filed under the name Arabidopsis thaliana (thale cress). The record is from RNAcentral. Lineage: Eukaryota; Viridiplantae; Streptophyta; Magnoliopsida; Brassicales; Brassicaceae.